This 253-nucleotide ribosomal RNA is filed under the name uncultured bacterium. RNAcentral describes it as "partial 16S ribosomal RNA". It matches the Rfam family "Bacterial small subunit ribosomal RNA", at positions 524 to 776 of the family's 1533-position model. The record is from RNAcentral.
UACAGAGGAUGCAAGCGUUAUCCGGAAUGAUUGGGCGUAAAGGGCGCGUAGGCGGCCAACUAAGUCAGACGUGAAAUCCCUCGGCUCAACCGGGGAACUGCGUCUGAUACUGGAUGGCUUGAAUUCGGGAGAGGGAUGCGGAAUUCCAGGUGUAGCGGUGAAAUGCGUAGAUAUCUGGAGGAACACCGGUGGCGAAGGCGGCAUCCUGGACCGAGAUUGACGCUGAUGCGCGAAAGCCAGGGGAGCAAACGGG